Molecule: ribosomal RNA, 253 nt
Filed under: uncultured bacterium
Lineage: Bacteria
Description: partial 16S ribosomal RNA
Rfam family: Bacterial small subunit ribosomal RNA
Source: RNAcentral
UACGUAGGGUGCAAGCGUUAAUCGGAAUUACUGGGCGUAAAGCGUGCGCAGGCGGUGAUGUAAGACAGAUGUGAAAUCCCCGGGCUCAACCUGGGAACUGCAUUUGAGACUGCAUCGCUAGAGUACGGCAGAGGGGGAUGGAAUUCCGCGUGUAGCAGUGAAAUGCGUAGAUAUGCGGAGGAACACCGAUGGCGAAGGCAAUCCCCUGGGCCUGUACUGACGCUCAUGCACGAAAGCGUGGGGAGCAAACAGG